AGGGUCUGUGGUGACAGGACAAGGAGAAAUGGUUUCAAACUAAAAGAGGGGAGAUUUAAAUUGGACGUAAGGAAGAAGUUAUUUACAAUAAGGAUGGUGAGUGUCUGGUACAGGUUGCUCAAAGAUGUAGUGGAUGCCCCGUCCUUGGAGACAUUCAAGGACCUAAUAAGGUCCUUUCCAACUCAAAAGAUUCUAUGAUUCAUUACUACUUAGUAAGAAUAUUUUACAUCACCUCAGUAAUACUCCAUUUCUUUUUGCUUUGGUUUCAUCUCUUCGUUGUAAUAAACAGAUAAACAUUUAUACUUUAAAUAGUAGUCUUUGCAGUUAAACAUAUUCUUUUUUUAUCAUGGUUUUGAGAUCUUAAUUACAAUCAUAUAUAAGGUUAAUUUUGAGUUUUCUGAGUUAAUGUUAUCCUACUUCAGCUGGAAUUAUGGAUUGAUGUUUCUCAGUUUCAAAUGCCCUUCAUUUUUUGGUAUCUCUUUCGGUUUUUUGUUAAUCUCUAAAAAUUCUCCCUGGAUAUUGGAUUCAGUCUCCUAAUUCCGCUCAAGAAACAUUUGAUAUCUGAUUUUAGUUUAACUAACCACUCUGUGAAAAUAUUUCUCCCAUUCCGCAUUAUCAGCUUCUACAGCAGGGUUCUCAUACCAGUUCUGGUUUCCUCUGCUUUCAUAUUUCAGCUUCUUUGUUAGCACUUCAUUCUCUUUGUAUCUGCUUAAUCAGAAUAACCUUCUAAAUUGUACAGAUCUCAGCUUGUGCCAGUAUUCAGUCUUCCUGCAUUAUGUUCUCUUCUCAGGCAACAUCCAAGCUCAUCAUUUUCCAAUUGUCUAUUGGUUCCAUCAGGACAGUAGGCCUUCCCAAAUGAUCAAAUUGUAAUUUGGAGUCUACAAAGGUGAAGUGUAAGCCUUUUUAGCUGCAGCUGAGAGUAAGUCUUGUUGCACUGCUUUCCUUGAGGAACUUGUAUCUGCAUAGAAGAAAAUUGAGCCUCAUGCCAAUAGAUGAGAUAGACUUUAUGACUUCUCCAUGAUCACAGCACAUAUUGAUAAAAGCAUGGAAUUGUGAAAUACGAGAUGCAGAUGUCAAAAUAUUUCUUUGUUUUUGUAAGGAGUUGCACGAGGAGUCAUUCCUUUUCUGUACAAUGAAUUAUCGGCAUUCAGAACUGUAAAAAAGCCACUCUGCCAAGAAUAGAAAAAUAAAUGCCAUUUGUUGUUUGUU
This is a non-coding RNA of Meleagris gallopavo (turkey), 1209 nucleotides long. The record is from RefSeq and is a predicted model, not a curated record. NCBI's taxonomy places the organism in Eukaryota, Metazoa, Chordata, Aves, Galliformes, Phasianidae.